This is a long non-coding RNA of Cimex lectularius (bed bug), 1044 nucleotides long. RefSeq lists it as uncharacterized. The record is from RefSeq and is a predicted model, not a curated record. Lineage: Eukaryota; Metazoa; Arthropoda; Insecta; Hemiptera; Cimicidae. The transcript is spliced from 4 exons.
UGUUUUUGAAAAAAAGCCCAUUUUGACGAAUGAACUGUUCGUGAAACGAAUGAGAUGAAGGACUGACGUAGCAUCAGCUAGAAUAAUUAGCUGAAUAAUUAAUAGUUCCUCAAGUGGAAUGAACUGAAAAACUGCGGAUUACCAUAUUAUAUUUUCUGAAAAGCUGAAGAAUUAACGGUUUGUCAGUUAGAAUGAACUGAAGAAUUGCCAGUUUACAGGGUUAGGUUAUGAGCUGAAGAAUUGACGGUUUAUCUGAUUUUGUUUUGCAGUGAUGAAUGUACUGUUAGUCAUAUUAAUGAGAUGAACCGAUGUAGCAUAACAUGGAAUACUGGACUGAAGAACUGAUAGAUCGUCAGAUGAAAUAAGCUGAAGAAUUUCCAAUUCGCCUAAUUGAGUAAUAAGCUAAUUGACCAUUCAUCAGAUUUUUGAUGAGCUGAAGAAUUAACGGUUCAUCAGAUAGAAUGAGCUGAAGAAUUUCCAGUUCGCAAGGUUAAGAAUGAACUGAAGAAUUGAUGGUUUAUCUGAUUUUAUUAGAUAGUGAGAUAUGCUGUUCGACAAAGAAACAGAUGAAGAACGGAUGAGAUGGCAAACUGGGCUGAAGAAUUGUUACUUUGUCAGAUGGAAUAAGCUGAAGAAUUGCCAAUUUACAAGAUUGAGUAAUAAACUCGCCCCAUCAGAUUUUCUUAUGAGCUGAAAAAUUCUUCACAUCAGAUAGAAUGAGGUGAAGAAUUGCUAGUUCACCAGCUGAGUUAUUAGCUGAAGAAUUGAAGCUUUAACCGAUUUUCUGAAGAAUCGGUGAAUCUGAAGAGUGAACUGUUCGUCAGAUUGAACGAACUGAAUAAUCGCCCUUUUUUUUGGUAAUAAAGGCUAGCAUGGGUGCAUAAUCAAUGUUGAAAACAGGUACUUGCAAAUGGAAGAAGCAGUAAUUAAUAAGAUGAUGAGUGACCGCUCCAACUAUGCUAUGAACCUGAAAGAGACAACAUAAUUAUCGAAAUUCCCAAAUAGAGGCUGCCAGUUGUUCCAUAACCUAUUGGAAUGCUCAAU